Molecule: long non-coding RNA, 2199 nt
Filed under: Oryza sativa (Asian cultivated rice)
Lineage: Eukaryota; Viridiplantae; Streptophyta; Magnoliopsida; Poales; Poaceae
Description: long non-coding RNA (OSAT_LNC000311)
Source: RNAcentral
GUUGGUCGAUCGAUCAAGCCCGUAUAACUGCACUCCAGUUUAAUUAAUUAGGGUGGUCAAGUGGUCGUCGCCGGGCACAUGCUCGUGUCUGCUCGUACGUCCGUCCAUCCCUAAAAUGCUGCGAGUCCCGAUCGAAAUUUUUUUUCUCUGAAUUUUGUAUACUUGCUCAGCUGAAUGGUGUCAGAACUGGAAAACCAAAUAUUGACAGAGGUUGUUUCCUUCUGCGGAAUUGCUAACCUUCGGCUGUGUUUAGAUCCAAAGUUUGGAUCCAAACUUCAGUCCUUUUCCAUCACAUCAACCUGUCAUACAUACAACUUUUCAGUCACAUCAUCUCCAAUUUCAACCAAAUCUAAACUUUGGAUCUAACUAAACACAGCCUUCGUUUGAUAGAAAAUUGAAGCCUAAUUAAAUUAUGUAGAUUUCGAGUCGUAUCUACUUUGGUUAUGCUCCAACUCCGACGACAAAUGGUGGUGACCCUGACCCUGACCAGUUAAGGUUAAUUACGUUAGCUCGUAUCUCAUAUGUGGUCUGAUGGGCAUAUCUCAAAUACCAAAAUUACGAUGGGCACAUCCACCACUACUAGAAAGACUAUUUUCUAGACGAUGGCAAAAUAUUUUUCUAGGCGGGUAGAACUCUCGAAGCCAAAGGACCGGCUAAAAAAUGGCAAGGGGGAGGAGGAGGGGGAGGGCGAUGACAGUCCGUCUGCGAAGAUACAAUUUCGCACGCGGACCACGUAAGAUAGCGCCUGUGAAAAUACCAAAAUUAAUAUGUCCAAUUUGCAUGAUCGACAGCCCCUUGCCUCCUAUAUUCAUCGAUCCACAGCAAAUGUAGUUUAAUUCCAAGCUACCGAUCGAACCAUCUUAAAUUCUGUCAAUCUGUUUUGAAUAUUAUUCUUUUAUUCACAUUGGAUAUAUAUGAUCCUGUCAUGUCUCGCCUACGUGCUCAUCACGGCUAUUUAAUGGCAUCAAUCCGUUUCUCACAUCUCUUAAGCGAAUUUAUAUACGAUCGGUAUACGUGAUCACAACAUGCAUGAACGUGAUCACAGGAAAAGAUAACUUUAAAAACCACGAUUUGCCGAGAUAAAACCUAAGAAUGAGACACGAAGCUUAAUUCAAAUUAGCUGGUUGAUUACGAUUUUUACCGGUGAACACAAUCCACGCUUGAACUUUAUGAAUUGCAUAAAUUAAUGCAUAUGAAUGUAUUUUGGGGGAAACACAUACAACUUGGUAGAGAACCAAUUACAAACCUUGGUGUCCAUGCUUAGGGGUUUAUUGAAGUCCUAGUGGUGGUCUCGUCACAUAUUCGUGAAGUUAUCCUUGCAUUUUUCCUAUUAUGCAAACCACAUGCAUAUAUAUACAUCAUGUAGAUAGAGACCAAAGAUAAAUGUGUGAAUAUAAUAAAAUUUUUAUCAGAAGCUACUAAGCUAGUGUAUCCAUGUGUAGUACUACCUUCAUUCCAAGAGAAAAGUUUUGCAGUCCUUGAGAAAAUAUCUCAAGGCACAUUAAAGUUUGUUGUAAUUUGAGAUACUUACUAUCUGGAGGUACAUUCCAAAAUAUAUGAUAAUGAUUAGUUUAUUUUUAACCAACUAAUCUCAUUCCAAAAACAAAUAGAGGGACUAUAUAAUUUUCUCUGAUCCCCUGUAAAUUUUGAACUGUACUCAUGGUCUAUUGCGCACGUCUCCAAAUAGUAAUGCCAACAACAUGUGUGUUAUCUAAACAAUUUUUUUUGUUCCAUUCAAUCCAUUGGGCAUUUUUUCUGAGCGAUACAUAAACGAUAAGCAUAUUUGGCUGCAUAUAUAUGAGUGUUGCAUUUGUCAACAGGAGGAGAAAGGUCUUUGAACUUCUCGAGUGUUUUUUCCACUUGUGUAGCGGCCUAACUUUGACCCCCCAUUUUCGUCAUCGAAAGGUACCCCUUUUGCAUGCAUGCAAAUGCAACCUCAGCCACACUAUAAAUAGCAACACAUUUGUUACUUCUCAGCUCGUGCCAGCCACACAUCAAGUAAGCUAAGCUACUGAGCUAACUCAGCUUAGCUAAGCUUAGCUAGAGCUCAAGUGAUUAAGCAAGAACACUUAGUUACUCAUAGAUAAUUAAUUAAUUAAGAUUUGUGAGAUUACCAUGGCUUCGAGGAGUAGCUGGCAUUGCUGCUUGCUGGCCUUCUUCCUCCUCUCGUCCGCCGCCGGCGCCGCCUACGGGCAGCAG